AUUGAACGCUGGCGGCAGGCCUAACACAUGCAAGUCGAGCGAGCGGCGGACGGGUGAGUAAUGUAUGGGGACUGCCCGAUAGAGGGGGAUAACUACUGGAAACGGUAGCUAAUACCGCAUACUAUCGGAUAACCCAUAUGGGAUUAGCUAGUAGGUGAGGUAAUGGCUCACCUAGGCGACGAUCCCUAGCUGGUCUGAGAGGAUGAUGAGCCACAACGGGAACGGGACAGGGCCCGAAACCCUACGGGGGCAGCAGUGGGGAAUAUUGGCAAAUGGGGGAAAGCCUGAUGGAGACAAGCCGGGGGGAUGAAAAAGGCCCUAGGGUUGUAAAGUACUUUCAGUCGGGAGGCGUUACCGAAAGAAGAAGCACCGGCUAACUCCGUGCCAGCAGCCGCGGUAAUAC
This 403-nucleotide ribosomal RNA is filed under the name uncultured bacterium. Its description in RNAcentral is "partial 16S ribosomal RNA". It matches the Rfam family "Bacterial small subunit ribosomal RNA", at positions 29 to 526 of the family's 1533-position model. The record is from RNAcentral.